Molecule: transfer RNA, 84 nt
Organism: Felis catus (domestic cat)
Lineage: Eukaryota; Metazoa; Chordata; Mammalia; Carnivora; Felidae
Rfam family: tRNA
About the family: Transfer RNA (tRNA) molecules are approximately 80 nucleotides in length.
Source: Rfam
GCCUGGGUGGCGCAGUCGGUUAAGCGUCCGACUUCAGCCAGGUCACGAUCUCGCGGUCCGUGGGUUCGAGCCCCGCCUCAGGCU